Molecule: long non-coding RNA, 441 nt
Filed under: Homo sapiens (human)
Lineage: Eukaryota; Metazoa; Chordata; Mammalia; Primates; Hominidae
Description: non-protein coding lnc-RTN4-2:2
Source: RNAcentral
AGGUUGAAUCUGCAGUGAGCCAUGAUCCUACCACUGCACUCCAGUGUAGGCUACAGAGUGCAAUCCUGUUCCCUGCCCCCCAAUAAAAAGAAGUCCAGGGGUUCUUCUGGUAGCCACAAUGUAUGUAAACACUGGCCUCUGAGUCAAUUCAAGUCAACAAAAAUGUGUUGAGUGUCCUCCCUAUACUAGGCCUUGUGCUGGACCAGUGAUGAAGACAGCAAACAAGAUACUCUGGCCCUUUAGCCUGAAGAAGAAAAACCAAAACCAGAUUCCAUAUUCUCCCAAUCCAGGAUCUUGUCCUAUAGUAGUAUGUUGCCACCACCUGAACAUCAGUCUAGCAGACCUUUUACCUUAUUAUGCAGAAAGCACACUUGGCAUGAAAAGAAAGGGUAUCCUCGGCUAGAUUUGCUUCUGUCAUGGCUGAAAAGGUGAAGUGACCCG